ACCUAUUCCAACUGACCCACAUACCCUCAACCUUGUACACUGUUUUCCCCUUGCAGGUAUGAAGACCUAUUCCAACUGACCCACAUACCCUCAGCCUUGUACACUGUUUUUCCCCUUGCAGGUAUGAAGACCUAUUCCAGCUGACCCACAUACUCUCAGCCUUUUACACUGUUUUACCCCUUGCAGGUAUGAAGACCUAUUCCAACUGACCCACAUACCCUCAGCCUUGUACACUGUUUUGACCCUUGCAGGUAUGAAGACCUAUUCCAACUUACCCACAUACCCUCAGCCUUGUACACUGUUUUGACCCUUGCAGGUAUGAAGACCUAUUCCAACUGACCCACAUACCCUCAGCC
Molecule: long non-coding RNA, 356 nt
Organism: Dreissena polymorpha
Lineage: Eukaryota; Metazoa; Mollusca; Bivalvia; Myida; Dreissenidae
Exons: 3
Source: RefSeq, a predicted model, not a curated record